CUAUAGCAAUGGCUGGGUUUACAGAUGGGCUCAGGCACAAUGGAGCUUUAAAGAUUCCCCUCGUGGAGCAAUGCCUAUCACUUUUAGUACAAAGCAUCUGUUGAUGGUAGAAAAUGAUUGCUAUGGUAACUUAUUUAAAUUAUGUUUUUUCCUCGUUUCAGAGAAAAAAAUCAUAUAGACCAAUUGAAGCAUGAACGUGGAUUGUAUUUAAGACAUAAACAAAGACAUUGACAGCGAUUCAUGGUUCAAGUAUUAAGCAGUUCAUUCUACCAAGCUGUCACAGGAUUAUAGAGAAUUAUCUCAAGUAAAACAAUGAAAUGAAAUUACAAAAAAUAACAAGUUUUGGCAGCCAUGAUAAUAGGUCAUAUGUUGUGUUUGGUUUGAAUUUUUUUUCUGUAAAUGUCUGCACUGAGGAUUUCUUUUUGGUUUGCCUUUUAUGUAAAUUUUUUACGUAGCUAUUUUUAUACACUGUAAGCUUUGUUCUGGGAGUUGCUGUUAAUCUGAUGUAUAAUGUAAUGUUUUUAUUUCAAUUGUUUAUAUGGAUAAUCUGAGCAGGUACAUUUCUGAUUCUGAUUGCUAUCAGUUAUGCCCCAAACUUUCUCACAAGUACCUAAAACCCAAAGGUGGAAGCUUGUAAAGAUUGGGGACACACACAUUGCUCUAUUCAAAGACUGAUUUUUUUCACAAGGGAGGGGAGGUAGAGAGUCAGAUUAACAAACACCAUGGGAGCUAAUUCUGGGUGUGCCACCCACUGACACCCAGAAGCCACCACAGACACAUUCAGACACAUAUGCAUGAUAAUAGUACUCCCAAACUGUCAAUUUUGCCUUUUUUGAAAAAGACAUAAUGCAGAAUUUGGGUAACACUUACCUUUAGAGACACCUGCUAGUAAAUUAUUUUCUGUCAAAGGAAUCAACAAACCAACGUGUGAGAGACUGUUUGGAAACAUCAUGGACAACAUUCCCAUUUUCAUGUAUCACAAUGUAAAUCACUGUAAUUAAAUAUCGGUGUUAAAUCCUUUGGGUUAUCCACUGCCUUAAAAUUAUACCUAUUUCCUUUUAAAAGAAAAGAUAUCAGUCAGAAUUGGAGAUUUUUAACAGUGGUCAUUAUCAAAGCUGUGUUAUUUUCCACAGAAUAUAGAAUAUAUAUUUUUUUCGUGUGUGUUUUUGUUAACUACGCUACAGAUAUUGAAUGCACCUUGAGAUAAUUUAGUGUUUUUAACUGGUACAUAAUUUAUCAAUCAGUACAUGAAAGUGUAAUAAUAAAAUAUCUAUGUAUCUUUAGUUACAUUCAAAUUUGUAACUUUAUAAACAUGUUUUAUGCUUGAGGAACUUUUUAAGGUCUUAGCAUAAAUGGAAACUUUUUGAAGUAGACUGGAUAUGGGAUAAUAGCUUCUUGUGACUAGACUUUUAAACUUUGCUCUUUCAGGCAGAAGCCUGGCUUCUGGGAGAACACUGCACAGCCAUUUUUGUCCAAUAAUUUACAUAAGUUUGACUGAAAAAAAAAUGAGCAUUAGAUUUCCAGUUACAGAACUCUGUUCCUUAAGGGGAAAAGCAAAACUGGUGUUUAUUUUUUAGAGACAUAGAAUAAAAAAUUAUGAAGGCAAUGAAAAAAUAAUUGAAGAUGGAGAUUUGGAAUAUUUUGCCACUUCUGCAUUAUUUAGAAACAUGUUAUUGUACAUUUGUAAGCCGUUUAUUGUCUGAGCAAUAGUAACUCAGUUUAAUAAAAGCUUCCUGUAGUGCAUUGGUAUGGAUUAAAUACAUAAAAUAUUCUAUUAGACUCAAUGCUGUAUAAAAUAUUAUGGGAAAAAAUGUUAUUUUGCCUCUAAACUUUGAUUUAUUGAAGUUUUAUUUGGCAGGAAAAAAAAUUGAAUCUUGGUCAAUAUUUAAACCAAAGUGAAAGGGGAAAAACCAAAGUUAUUUGUUUUGCAUGGCUAAGCCAUUCUGUUAUCUCUGUAAAUACUGUGAUUUCUUUCUCUUUCUUCUCUUUAGAAUUUUGUUAAAGAAAUUCUAAAAUUUUUAAACACCUGCUUUCCACAGCAAACCAUGAACACUAAAAUGAAAUCAUUUCCAUAUUAAUAUUUUUUUUUCCUUUUUCUUUUGGUGUGGGAGAUCAAAGGUUUUAAGUCUUACUUCUAAGAUAUGUUUGCAGACAAAAAGCAACAUGACAAUAGAAUGAGAAAAUUUAGAAAUAGAAAAAUUGUUAUGCUACAAUUAUGGCUUGGCUUCCACUUGCAAUGGUUAACUAAGUCCAAACACAGCUGUCAGAACCUAGAGAGAAGAACAGGAGAAACUCAUAGCACUGGACCAAGAGCGGAAAGUCUCCCAGGAAAAAGAGGACAACAUUAUUACACUGAAUCGUGCCUGGAGAAAGGGGAGAGCUCGUGUGUGUGAUGGCAGCCAUGUACACAGCGAUAGGAGAAGAGGAUUCACAGUCCUCAACUGCCCAAGUCUGGCCUCACCGAUUUAUCUCUUUCAGAAGAGGAGACAGGUUUUACCAGUUUGAGAUUCACUCCCUAUAUGUGAUUAUAGGAAUUGUAUGUGGAAAUGGAUUAACAUACCCUUCUAUACCUAAAAGAUAAUAAAAAUGGAAUAUGUCUUCACAUAUCUCUCACCACCGCUGUCUGCCUCUUGUCUGCAUCAGUGA
Molecule: long non-coding RNA, 2646 nt
Filed under: Marmota monax (woodchuck)
Lineage: Eukaryota; Metazoa; Chordata; Mammalia; Rodentia; Sciuridae
Source: RNAcentral